GAAAAUAAUAGUCGCCGCAACAGUAGGAACAACAGCAGCAGCUGCUGUUAUUAACCAUGACCACAUUUUAAUAAAUGGCCCACAUUUGUAUGGCUGACAAUUAUAUGAUGGCUCAGUGGUUUGCUCAAUUGUGUUGGCCGACAUAGAAAGGCAAGUGCCAAACCGGAAUUGCAUCGAUUACGAUAAUAAUCAGAAACUAUGCGGCAAGCGGAAACAAUUAGCAAACGCGGUAGCAGCGGUAACGGCAGAGGCAAAAGCAGCGGCAGCGGCGAAUUGCCAACUUGCGAACGAGCUGAUCAAAACAAAACGCGACAAAACUCUAAAGACGGCGAGCAUGGGCAAUCAGAAUGGCAAAUGCGAAUGGGCAUGGAAAUGAAAAUGGCAGUGACAAGCAAAACAUCCGCCGGCGCAAAGCUAAAGCUAAAGCCAAUGUUAAAAGGUGUACAACGGGCACGCGUGUGUGUGUGUAUGAGUGUGAGGAAGGGAACGGAAGCCGCGGGCGUUACGGCGACCACCGGCAUCCGAGAUUUCAUUUCACACAGCGCAUCCAAAAUAGGGGGAAGCCAACUGUGGCAGAACCCUUGCGUAUUGGCCCAUUUGUCAUUUGCCUGUGUUAAUAGUUUUCCGGAACCCGUUUCAAGUGCUUCCGUCCAAGGAAGUGCGUAAAAGCCAGCUGAAAUUCGCCAAGGAAUCGAACUUUGAAGCCGCAAUUUUAAUUACACGUGAGUGUGUGUAUGUGUGCGUGCGCGGCGCGAUAAUUCCCACGAACACCGAAUUCGAAUUCGAAUGAAUCAACAAAUAUUGUAUGAAAGAGAAGAAAACAAAAAACAACUCUGAAAACUCUUUUUCGUUGUUCUCUUUGUUUGCCGGCCAGGAAGCCACACACAAUGCCCGCCGAACCACUUGUUAGGCACGGCGACAACAAGGCUAAAAAUGUGAAAAGAGAAAACGCCUCAACAAAAACAAAAACCACAAGAAUAUCAACAAUAGCAACAACAAAUAUCAAGAAAUAACAAGCAACAAAAGCGUUUCAAGCAGUCAACGUGCCACAAGUCAAAUCAAAUCGGAGACGCCUCACGUGCUCGUUGCAUUUUGGCCACGUGGCCGUGUCCAAUGGCCCAGUCGGGAGCAGAUGCCACAGCGACAACAACGAGGACAACAACAACAA
Molecule: long non-coding RNA, 1168 nt
Organism: Drosophila mojavensis
Lineage: Eukaryota; Metazoa; Arthropoda; Insecta; Diptera; Drosophilidae
Exons: 2
Source: RefSeq, a predicted model, not a curated record